CUUUAGGCCCAUUAAACUUGAUAUAAAUCUACCAAUUACCCUAAUUCAUGUCUUCUUGGUUGAAGGAGCAAACGGCACCUCCUUCAUUCUCGGUUUCAUAGGUUUGCGUGGCUAUUUCUUGAUUUGCGGUUAUCACAUCAUCUCUUAAAAGAGAGGCGUUUUCUCUAGGAUACUUCCUCAUCAACAUACUCUAAGGACGUGAAAAGUAUGCUUUAGAGUUGUUUGAUGGUAGAGAUAUGAUGAUAUGGUCAAAAGAGACAGCUUCCAAACCUUGUGAUAAAAUGUCAUCGCAUCAUGGUCUUCAAAAUCAAAAGCACCAACUUCCCAUGCUCUUGAAUUCUAGUUCUAAAAAUUCACAGGAACUUGGCAGGCAACCAAGCACGCAUUAGACAGGGUAGAGAGACCAAGACUGCGUCGGCUAGACGCGAGCGGGCGGCGCAGCUGGCGUCGACGCAGGGACAGGGGCAGGGCCGGGGACGUGUGCGAGUUCCCGUGCAGAUGGACGCGGGUACCUCUGCAUCUGGAUCGAGGAGUCGUCUGGCUCGGGUAUCUUCCGUGGCUGCCCUCUCCGGUGCUGGUACAUGUUUGUGGUAGGCGCUGCACUCUUUGUCGACAAGAGUGCAAGGUACGUCGAUGUGACCUACCUCCGCUAUUUCAUGGACUUGACUACCGUUCACCAGUGCAACUGAGGGUCAGCUGUUCUGGCAUACCUAUAUCAGAAGCUAAAUGAGGCCUCCAACUGGAGGACCAGGCAGUUGACCGGAUCCUGCACACUACUUACGAGCUGGAUCAUCUCCUACUUCCCCCGUAUCCACGGCUUCCGCGUUGAUUCCGCGUACGAGGACGCCAUGCCCAGAGCCGCCAGAUACGUUCUUUAGAGGGGGAACAAUACAGUGGGACCAUACUGUGGGUACCUCGACCGCACGAUGCACGAUGAUGUCACUUGGAGGCCAUUCAGCGACUACACUAAUGUUGUCCCCUUUGACAGCAUCUCGUUAUAUUCUGGAUGGUUGGCAUGCGGGACCAACACCAUUGUGUGGUAUCUCCCUGAGCGGUGCAUGCGGCAGUUUAGAUUUGUGCAGAUGAUACCCAGGUCACCUUUUGAGGCUGCUCCCGACACAGUGACCCGAGUGCAGCUCACUGGCAUAUUUGAGGAUUGGGAGCGUCAUGUGGUCUCGGAGGAGUAUCGUCGCAUUCGGGUCACCUAGGACUGGCACAGUAUGGAGGGGUAUGUCACAUGGUUCUAUCGGGUGUCACAUUCUCUGAUGAAACCCGACGCUCCUGGCGCUCCUAGGCCAGCACACGAGGAGAUCUUGAAGAACCAGCAGGCCGAGGAUGACCAUGCCAUUGAUCUUCUGCCGAUCUGCCAGCGGAUAGAGAUGCUUGGGCGGGUGUCGCUAUCGCGAAAAUUAACAGAGUCGCCACUAACAUAUUUAUCCUGAAAAGGAAGGGAAUGCCAGCAAACCACAAAACAAAACAACGGUCUCACGACCAGAGAAAAAGGGUAAGGGAGUCGGUUACGCGAGGGGAAGGUAUUAGCACCCAUCGCGCCCAUCGUACUCGAUGGUAUCCACGCUUGUGUCUAAAACUAUGGGUGUGUAGUAAAUCUAUGCUAAUCUGGACUAAAAUGCAUGCAAAAUGUAGGGAAAAGAAAGAGUUAUGCUCGCACGGGCCCUAUCCCGCUGCCUACGUAUCCUUUUUGAGGAAUCAGAGGUACCGUAGCUCGGCUAACUAAUUUUUGUUUGUUUUGUGUUUUUUAGGUGAACGAGUUAAAUUCACACUCCGCUGCUCGACCUUUGGAGACUUAGGCUUGGGAAUGGAGCGGAAAUAACAAGCUCUUAAGAAAAGAAAAUCAAAGAGUGUGGUUUGUGUUUUAAAAGAUGCAUGAGGAAAACCUAAACUAAGGGGGGAAAGCUUGCUACCUAAUGUUAUCAUACAAAGGGUACAAGUCUAAACUAAACUAGCAAUCUACAGGGGAUAAGGGAAACAAACAAUAAUGUCACACAAACGAGCUCCGCUCGUAAAGCAAACAAAACCAACGGUACUGACCGAAUGGUAGAAAAGCGGUCCCGCCAUAGCCAAGGGGAGCAACUCAACCCAAGUCAACCAAGCAUUAGACCUCGCGAAAAUGAUCGGGCCAUAGACAAGAGGAGCGAGUCCCUCUCAGCAACCAAGCCGUUAUGGAUCGUAAAGGAAAACGGUGCGUGCGUACACCAAGCAUCAACGUCGAGCGACGCGAGCUAUAGGAAAGGCGGGGGUCCGGCUACAUGAACCCUUUUCCUGACAUACUCGAUAACAAGAUCUUGUGCAGGUUCAGAAGCAAGCAACGUGCAGCGUGCGCAUACUGAACGGACUCGAUGAGACUGGGCGGGGGUUGAUUGUUAACCCUUUCCGCAUGCCUUCCAUGAGGACUUAACGGAGUGCCAUAUAGGACUUAUUACACCGUGACUCCCUGUCGCAAAGCACAAAUAUAAACACACCAACAAAAACAGAGCCUCUUUCGAGGACUUGGCCAGAUGCAUGUCUAAGUCCUACUUCUCAUGUUAUUGGAUGAUGCGAGAAAGCGAUAAAGUGCGAGAAAAGUAAAAUGAAACGGGAUCAAUACCAAACGGAUGAUGAUCCGUAAACUAAAGUGAAGCAAAGCGAAGAAACUAAGAAUCCCGCGAGCGAGCUAGCAAAGCAAAAGCAAAUGGUCAGCACACCGAUUAGCCAUGAAAGCACACAAAGGUCGACAUAUGCGUCGAGCAUAAUCACAAUACACCUGCAAGAGGAACAAGCAAACCAAAUAAGCAGAUAUAAAGUACAAGGAUCGUGUCUUUAGGAUGAGAACACGAUGCGAGCGAAAGAAAUCGUGUUCCGCAAGUAAGCGGAACACUCAAGCAAUAAGCGCCGGUCUGUGACUAUCCAAAAACCUUGCACACUAGCACACAAGUUAGAGAUAACAAACAUCGCAAUCGGAAUUGCGUUAUUACUAUAAAGCGAAAGGAAACGGACAAGUAAUGUAAACAUGAAAUGGAUAAUGAAACAUCAAAGAGAAAUCAAACAUGAAUGAUCUACAAAUUAUUGAAAACUAAGCAUCUAGUAAGAUAGUACGUCUCAUAAGCUUUCCGUCGAUAUAAAGAACGUGCAAAUCGGAGCUACGAGUAAAAACUUAUACAAGAUUGAAGUUAGAAAAGAAAACACAAAAAUUACACACAGGAACCGGUUCCUGCAUAGGACAACCCGGUUCCUAGUACUAAAAACCAGAGGCAGAAAACUGGGAACCGGUUCCCACCUAGGGACAACCCGGUUCCUGGUACUAAAUCACAGAAGCAAGCACAUUUCAAAUUACUGAGAACCGGUUCCCGCCUAGGGACAACCCGGUUCCUAACACACAAAUCAGAGGGCAAAAACAACGCAGGAACCGGUUCCCACCUAGGGACAACCCGGUUCCUGGUACUAAAAUGCAGAGAAUCAACAAUUUUGGAUUGAGUGGGAACCGGUUCCCGCUUGGGACAACCCGGUUCCUGACGUAGCAAAACCAGUUUUUAAGCAUUUUUAAGGCCUCGGAGCCAUUCACACUCAAUCCAAAAUCGUUCCGACUCGAAAUCAAAGCGAACAAACAUUGAAUAUUCAUGCUAUACGUAAAUCCACAAAUCAAAUGAGUCACAUAUCAACAAUUAUGCUAAGUGCGACGCGUCGAGCAAGGCAAAUAUCAAUCGAAAGUGUAACACAUGCAUUUAUACAAACACAUUGAGUACGUUGCAAACAACACAAAUGAACAUCAACAAUUAUGCACACAAAAUCAUCAACGAAUCACGGAUUCAAACACGAGCACCACAAUUCAUCAUCAACGGAUAUCAUUUACAUGCAAUGAACAUUAAAGUUAAACACAAAAUCACAUGAUCAUUAUCAAUUCAAGCAAAAAUAAACAAAUUCACCGAUCAACCAUCAUCAAUCAAGAACAAGAGGUAGAUCUAGAUUCGAAUUCACAUAAUAGUCAACAAUUAAGCACUUAAUUCAAGAUCCGAAAGCUUACCGGAUGAAGAUCUAAACCGAAGUGCGAACACGAACUCGAUAUGAACGCGAACACGACACGAACGCGAACACAACUCGAAAGCGAAACUCGAAGUGAGAGAGAGGUAGAGGCGCGCGAGAUUUGAGGAGAGAGAGAGAAGAAAAUCAAACUUCGAAUCUUAAUUCUUUAAUCCAUGUUCUUGAUCUUGAUGAAGAUUGAUGAGUUUUUGAUGAAAGUUUUAUGUAAUUUGUGGUUUUGAUUCAAGAUAAUUGAGAGAGAAUUGAGAGAAAGUGUUUUUGAUAUUUUUGGUAACUUGAAAUUAUGAGAGUCCCCCCUUAAUUUGUGAAGAGCAAAAUGUUUAUAUAUUGUCAACGCGAAAUGUCCAAAUUGCCCUCGGUGCGUCCUAUUUUGGCUCGUUUUUAUGGAAACUCGGUUCGGCUCUGAAUUCCGGAACAAAACCAAUGCCACUGUGAAGAUGACCAAAUUCGGGACUCGUUGCCGCGAGAAUCGUCUCAAUCCGAUAAGCGAUGAAGAAAAUACGCCCGUUUGAAUGACGAGAAACGUCGAUUCAUCUGGUACGACUGUGCAGAAUUUUGUGAGUACCGCUCAAAGAACUCGAUCUGGACAUGAUGCCAGAAAAUAAGUAGGACAAUCUUCAUCUGAAAGACAAAAUCGAUCAGGUAGACAUCUCCAUCUGAUCUGAUGAUAUCCGUGGCUUGCUCCUUCGUAAGAUCUUGGGAGAUCCGGAGGCGGUUCCUUCAACUAAUCUGAAUCUGAAUAUUAGGAUAGGAACAGAUAUCUCUUCCGAACUGUGUACGCCGGGUAAAGAAAGUGUCUUCAACUGAUAGUUAGGCAUCCGGACUGGGCAGACGAGUUUCUUCUUCUGAACGAUCUAAAUCGUCAGGGAGUAGAUAUUUCCAACUGAUCUGAUGUAUCAGAGGGCUUGCUCCUUCGGAAGAUCUUGGGAGAUCCGGAGGCGGUUCCUUCAACUGAGCUGAAUAUCAGGAUAUGAACAAAUAUCUUCCACCGAUCUGGGGGCAUCGGGAAUAGGAAUGUCUUUGAACUGAUCUGAGCUGCGCCAGAAAAUAAGUAGAACAAUCCUCUUCUGAUUCAAAACAUCAGGAUAAGCGCCUGUAAUGACUAGGCGAAUAUUGCUCUCUGAGGAGCCUUCGUAUCUUAAUAACUUUCCUGCAGAAAGAAACAGAUAUGAUAUGAUUUAUGCAUGGUGCAUGUAUGAAUGUGUAUGGAAUAACGUUUCCGAGGAGAAAGACGCUACACGCUUAGAGAAUGCAAUGCAAAUGAUGCAUGAUUCGAACGUUGCUUAGGGAGACAACGGAAGAGCACUAAAUUUCCGAAGCAUUCCUGGAGAGAGUAUAGAACUCUGCGGGGAGGACAAGAUGAGUGACCAGGAGUCACAAACUGCGAGCUGGCAAAGAUGGAUCAAAAAUCUGCUGGAGACGAUCAAAUCUAGACACGAGCUCUAUUUAGGGAAUAAAUCCUGCUUGGGGGAUAUGAACAUCCCAAUCAACUGCUUGGGGAAUACCCUGGCUACUUCACUGGAGAAGCAAAUUCUCGACACUAUGAGGAUGUGGAGAUAAAGACAAGUUAUGGGGACAACUCUGAUGGGGAAUGACCAACUUGCUUGUAUAGGACGCAUUCCGCUGGGGAAAUCUUUGACGGACAUAGAUUCUGCUGAGGAUGCGUGUGAAUCUUUGCUGAGGAAAGAAACUCAGUGGGGAAGAUAGAUACUACCGUGCAAUGAUCUGCUAGGGAUAUGAGAAAUCUGCUGGGGAUAAGGAACCCGACAUAAGAACCUCUUGUUAAGACCAUUCCACUGGGGAAUAAGAUGGCUCUCUUGGGGAAAACAGGUCCAUCUGUUGGAGAGAGAAGCGCUCUACUAGGGAGAACGAGGAACUCGGGCGAGAGACCUCUUUAAGAGUUGAUGGGGAAUCAGAUACCAUCCAAUCAUGACUCAACUGGGGAGAAGACAUUCUGCCGGGGAAUGAGGCUUUUGGAGCAUAGAGAAUGCAUUGAGAUGCGCUUUGCUGAGGAGAUGAGAAUCUUGGAACAAAGAAGACUUCAUAUGAAUGCACUUAGCUGGGGAAUGAGGAUCUCUCAUUAGGAAGCACUCGGCUGGGGAGUGAGAAUCUCUCAUAGCUAGGUCCGUCAAUAUGCUGAUGCGAAGUGCUUGCAAGGACGUACCUGCGAGACAAACAAAUGAAAAUGCCCCAGGAUGUAGCAUAGCAUCUUGAUCUGCCAUCCUGGUUACACAAGACUUCGAAGUAAUUUCAAAGAUUUUAUCAUUUCUAAUCAUGUAUUGUAAAAGCAAUGUAGUUUUCAUAUGCAAAGUUCAACACAAACCCGGGACGUUUUAUGCAAACAAAACAGUAAAAGAAAACAGCUGUUUAAGAUAAAAAUAUGUUUAUUAAUUGAUAUGAAAAAAAUGCCCGAAGAAGGGCGAAUACACUUAAGAAGCAAUUCCUAGUAAGAGGUAACUACACAUUUUUUUUUAAUAGAAGAGGAAUGGCAAUGUGAAACGGAUAUCCAUUAGUUUCGAUCCCGCUAUCACUUUUAUAACUUUGACGUUCUCAUCUCCUUAUUUUGGAAGACCGUACUCAUUAGGAUUGAUCACUGCCCGCUUUGACGACCGAACAUCACCGAACUUGUGGACCCGACGGGGUUUAGGAGUGCCUUUAGGGAUUUGAGUUACCAGGUGCAAACUUAAGAACACGGAGUCUUGCUUAUCCCUCGGUCGGGAGCCCUAAACACGACGAUUGGAAUUAGAGAAUGCUUUAGGGAUUUGAGCUGCCAGGUGCGAACUCAAGAACACGGAGUCUUGCUUAUCCCUCGGUCGGGAGCCCUAAACAUUUCAAGCAUGUAUGAAGGGUGAUUGCCAAGGUGGCAUGCGAGAUGUAGUCGUUCGCUUUUGUCCCUUUUUUUUGCCUAAGUCGCGCUUUCGGGUUUUCAACUUAGCGGGUAUAUUUGUUUCUUUUUCAUUCUUUUGCCUGAUUUAUUUUCCUUUUUUCUUUCUUCUUUUUUUUUUUCUUUUUUUUUUCUUUUUUUUAUCAGGUCUAUGCGAAAUAUUUUUUUACUACAUCUGCGUUCACAGGGUGCGGAAAGUUCUCGCCAUCCAUUGUUGCAAGCAUCAUGGCACCGCCAGAGAAUACUUUUUGCACAACAAAGGGGCAUUCAUACGUCGGAGUCCACUUGCCUCGAGGAUCCCCCUAAGGAAGAAUGAUUCUUUUGAGCACCAGAUCAACUGGUUUAUAGCUUUGGGGUCGCACCCGUUUGUCAAAAGCUUUUCUCAUCUUCUUUUGGUACACUUGGCCAUGUCCAAUAGCCGCUAAGCGUUUCUCAUCGAUGAGGUUCAACUGAUCCAUCCGAUUCUGUACCCAUUCUGACUCGUCAAGCUCGACGUCUUUCAUAAUCCUCAGGGAAGGAAUCUCAACUUCAACUGGCAGUACCGCUUCCAUGCCGUAAACUAGUGAGAAAGGAGUUGCCCCAGUCGAUGUACGCACAGAGGUGUGAUAACCAUGCAAAGCGAAAGGCAACAUAUCGUGCCAAUCUCGGUAGGUCACUACCAUUUUCUGCACAAUCUUCUUAAUGUUCUUGUUGGCCGCUUCAACAGCGCCAUUCAUCUUUGGACGAUACGGAGAAGAAUUAUGAUGCUUGAUCUUGAAGGACUCACAAAGCUCCUUCAUCAACUUUUUAUUGAGAUUUGAUCCAUUAUCAGUAAUGAUCUUCUCAGGAAUCCCAUAACGACAGAUUAUGUUGUGCUUGAUAAAGCGAGUAAUCACUUGCUUGGUGACAUUCGCAUAAGAUGCGGCUUCAACCCACUUGGUGAAGUAAUCGAUGGCAACCAAAAUGAAGCGAUGUCCAUUAGAAGCAGUAGGCUUAAUCUCCCCAAUCAUAUCAAUGCCCCACAUUGCAAAAGGCCACGGAGAAGUCAAAACAUUCAAAGGCACAGGCGGCACGUGCACUUUAUCAGCAUAGAUCUGGCACUUGUGACAAAUUCUGACAUGGUUAUGACAACCGGUUUCCAUAGUGGACCAAUAGUAACCAGCCCUCAAAAUCUUCUUAGCCAUCGUAUGCCCACUAGAAUGGGUUCCAAACUCACCUUCAUGCAUUUCCUCUAUGAUUUUCGAAGCUUCUUCUUUUACGACGCAUCGGAGUAACACACCAUCAUGACGCCUCUUGUACAACACCCCAGCGUUAAGGUAAAACUUAGCUGCAAACCUUCUCAGAAACUUCUUAUCAGUCACCGACGCUUCGGGAGGAUACUCUUGAGUUUCGAGGAACUUUUUGAUAUCAUGAUACCAAGGAUUGCCAUCCAAUUCAACAUCAGCCUCAAAGCAGAAUGCUGGCUCAUCCAACCUGUUGAUGGUAAUGUUAGGCGCUUCAUUGGCCCACUUCACUUUGAACAUGGAAGCCAAAGUAGCGAGAGCAUCAGCAAGAUUGUUCUCUUCUCUAGAAAUAUGCUCGAAUGUGAUCUCAUCAAAGUAUGGAAUAAGUCUCAUCACAUGCUCCCUGUAUGGAAUCAGAUUCUGAUGGCGAGUUUCCCAAUCUCCAUUGAUCUGGCUAAUGACAAGAUUGGAAUCACCAUAAACUUUCAAAUACUUGAUUCGCAAAUCGAUCGCAGCUUCGAUGCCAUAGAUGCAGGCUUCAUACUCAUCCAUGUUAUUAGUGCAGUCAAAACAGAUUCUAGCUGUAAACGGAAUAUGAAAACCUGAUGGAGAAGUAAUUACAGCUCCAACACCAUUCCCGAGUGCAUCAGAGGCACCAUCGAACACGAGCGUCCAUCGCGAUCCUGGUUCGGGUCCUUCCUCUGGUCCAGGAAUGUUACAAUCUCUGAUGUACAAGACAUCCUCAUCUGGGAAUUCAAACUUCAUCGGUUCAUAAUCUUCGACCGGCUGAUGCGCAAGAUAAUCUGCCAACACACUACCUUUAAUGGCUUUCUGGGUAGUAUAUUGGAUAUCAUAUUCAGUCAAAAUCAUUUGCCACCUGGCUACUCUUCCGGAAAGAGCGGGCUUCUCAAAGACAUAUUUGAUAGGAUCCAUCUUGGAAAUCAAUAAGGUGGUGUGAACCAACAUAUACUGCCUCAGCCGGCGAGCAGCCCACACCAAAGCACAACAAGUUUUCUCGAGCAGUGAGUAUCGAGAUUCACAGUCGGUAAACUUUUUGCUAAGGUAGUAUAUUGCAUUCUCUUUUCGGCCAGACUCGUCAUGUUGACCCAGCACACAUCCCAUUGAAUUUUCAAGAACUGUGAGGUACUUAAUCAAAGGCCUUCCCGGAACUGGAGGCAUUAGUAUCGGAGGUUCCUGCAGAUACUCUUUCACUUUUUCGAAUGCUUUUUGACAAUCAUUAUUCCACCUGGCCGUCUGAUCUUUUCUUAGCAAUUUGAAUAUUGGUUCACAAGUGGUCGUAAGAUGAGAGAUGAAUCUAGCAAUAUAGUUCAAUCUCCCUAAGAAACCACGAACCUCUUUUUAUGUUCUCGGCUCAGGCAUCUCUUGUAUCGCUUUUAUUUUUGCAGGAUCGACCUCAAUACCUUUCCCACUAACAACAAAGCCCAACAGCUUUCCGGAUCGCACUCCGAAAGUGCAUUUGUUUGGAUUCAACCUCAGUCUGAAUUCCCGAAGCCUUUCAAACAACUUUUGCAAGUGAACCAAGUGCUCUUCUUCAGUGUGAGAUUUUGCAAUCAUGUCGUCAACAUACACUUCAAUCUCUUUGUGAAUCAUGUCAUGAAAAAGAGUCACCAUGGCACGCUGAUACGUCGCCCCUGCGUUUUUCAACCCAAAAGGCAUGACUUUAUAGCAGAAAGUUCCCCAUGGUGUGAUAAACGUUGUUUUCUCCAUAUCUUCUGGUGCCAUUUUGAUCUGAUUAUAUCCAGAGAAACCAUCCAUGAAGGAAAACACUUUAAAAGGAGCAGUAUUAUCCACCAGCACAUCAAUGUGGGGAAGAGGAAAAUCAUCCUUCGGACUCGCCCUAUUUAGAUCUCUGUAAUCCACACACCUCCUAACCUUUCCGUCCUUCUUAGGUACAAGAACAAUAUUCGCAAUCCACGGAGGGUAAUUCAUAACUUGCAAGAAGCCAGCAUCAAACUGUUUCUCAACCUCUUUCUUAAUUUUCUCAGACAUAUCUGGGCGAGUCCUUCGAAGCUUCUGCUUGACAGGAGGACUAUCUUCCUUAAGAGGUAGACGGUGUACCACAAUAUCAGUAUCAAGACCUGGCAUAUCCUCAUAGGACCAAGAAAAUAUGUCUGCAUACUCUUUCAACAUAGCAAUAAGCCUCUGUUUCACACUAUCCUCAAGCACAGCUCCUAUCUUGACUUCUCGGACUUGCUCUUUAGUGCCAACAUUUACCAUCUCAAUUUCCUCCUGAUGCGGCUGAAUCGCUUUCUUUUCCUGUCUCAAUAAUCUGGCCAACUCGUCGGGGAGAUCACAAUCUUCAUAAGCUUCCUCCUCGGCUUGGUAGAUCGGAUUGUCGAAAUCAUAACAAGCAAUAGCGGAACUAUUACCAAUGAAAUCCGUGGUGGUGGAAUAUCUGCAUGAUUGAUGUUUUUAUUUUAGUUUUAUUAUUAAGCCAUGUGCAAGUGUGUGCAAAAACAUUGCCAUUUAAAGGAAAAAAGUUAAAAAGAAAGACAAGGAGCAAAACAUUUGAAUGCAAAAACGUCCUUUUAUUUCAUGAUUAACUUUGAAAACGUGAACUGCAUGGCCCUACAAAUGAUUCACUACGCCUUGGGCAGCGCGUAGGAAUUAUGUCAUGAUAAGAAAAGUAAAAACAAGGAAAUUUACUCAUGAGCCUGUGUAACUUGGAUGACAUCUUCAAUUGUCCAGUUGCUAGGCACCUCUCCAGGAAUACUUGGACGAAUCCAGCUAUCAAAGUCACAAUCACUAUCCACCUCUUCACCAUUGACAAUGGCAUUCACGGCUGGACCCCCAUGGGUAGGCAUCAGAUUAUUGACAAUAUUGGGUGUAGGAGUGAAUUGGAUUAUCUUUUGAUCCAACAAGUCCUGUACUUUGUUCUUCAACGCAAUACACCUCUCUGUAUCAUGCCCAGCAGCACCUGAAUGGAAAGCACAUCGUGCAUUUGCAUUGUAGUUCGGAGAUUGCGUGUCUGGAGCAUUCGGAGCAUCUCUCAAAGUAAUCUUCUCAAUCUUGAGCAAAUUUUGCAACACCUGAGCAUAGGUCAUAGGAAUCGGAUCAAUCUUUCUAUGAGGCCUGGUCCUGGGAGGAUAGCGAUCAUUAUUAGAACGUUGUCCCUGCUGUUGUUGUUGUUGCGGCACUGGAAUCAUGACAGCAUUAACCUGUGAAUUGUUUCUUCCUGAACCCCUUCUUCCAUAUAUGGCAUCCGCAUUUCCUUCCUUCCUUCUGGCAUAACCCUCAGCUUGUUUCUUACCACUAGGAGUAUUAGAAGAAGAUCCCAACUGAAUUUUCCCCAUCUUUAGACCCAUCUCGACACGUUCGCCAUAUCUCACCAUUUCAGAAAAGUAGCUGAAGCACUACAAGCCAAGUAAUAGUGUCCAAACAAAGUACUAGUGAACAUGUCAAUCAUCUCACGCUCAGUCAUAGGUGGCUGAACCCUCGCAACUAACUCGCGCCAUUUCUGAGCGUACUCUUUGAAAGAUUCUUUAGACCCCUGAACCAAACCCUGCAACUGGGUCCUAUUGGGCGCCAUGUCAACAUUGUACUGAUAGUGCUUAAUGAAAGCCUCCACAAGAUCUCUCCAAGAAUGGAUAUGAGUGCGCUCAAGUUGAACAUACCACUCCAAGGAAGCUCCAGCCAAGCUAUCCUGGAAGAAAUGCAUUAGAAAACCCUCAUCCUCAGAAUAUACGGACAUCUUCCGAUAAUGCGCUUUAACAUGAGUCAUGGGACAAGUCGCCCUGUCAUACCCUAAAAUUUGCCCAUACUAUUUCUCUUGUACAAGUUCAAAUCAAUACACAAGGCUCCUAGACACACUCUCCUAUACAAGGCUCUAAAACUAGGGUUUGGUUCAUUCAAAGGAAAAUCAGUGAAUCAAUGGCUCCAAGGCAUCUCCUAUGGCUCAAUAUAUCUCACACUAUCUCUAUGACAAGUAUCAAGGCUCAUUUCAAAGAAUUGGUCAAUCAGUUGUUCAGAAAGUCAACAGUCGAUUAAGUUAACCUAGAAGUCAACUGUGGUCAAAGUAAAGUCAGAACUCCUGAUUUUUUGUCAAGAUCCUCAUAUUGAAGUAUCAUUCACCAUUUGAUCAAGAAUUGAUCAUGGUUCAUCAAGGAAAGAACAAAAAUCAACAAAUCAAAAAGUUUCUAAAUUAGGGUUUGUAUAGGAGAAAGUCAACUGAACUGUGACCAGCCAUAACUCUCACAUGGAACACCCAAAAUUUUCCAUCCAAAGCUCAUUUUGAAGGAAAUUUGAUUUUCUACAAAAUUGUGUCUCACAUGCCAAAUCUAAAAGUGCUUCAUUUAAGAGAUAUGGACCAAAACAUUAUAGGUCCUUUUCAAAAGUCAACAAAAAGACACUUUUUUCAAAAAGAUAUAAAAUGAGCAUGGAAAAUCAUUUUGAUAUGAGACCAAAGACACCGGUUAGAGGACUCUCUAAGGUUUCUAAAAAGUCCUAGAACACUUCCAUACCUCAAAAAUUGAGAGAGAUAGG
Molecule: RNA transcript, 12624 nt
Organism: Vicia villosa (hairy vetch)
Lineage: Eukaryota; Viridiplantae; Streptophyta; Magnoliopsida; Fabales; Fabaceae
Exons: 5
Source: RefSeq, a predicted model, not a curated record